Molecule: non-coding RNA, 795 nt
Filed under: Eisenia nordenskioldi pallida
Lineage: Eukaryota; Metazoa; Annelida; Clitellata; Crassiclitellata; Lumbricidae
Source: RNAcentral
UAACAGCUUGAAUCUAACUGAAAACUUAGCUUUUUUGAAUCAAUAUACAUGUAAGCCCUAGCCUCCCCGUAAAUAGAAUUAAUUCAUAAAUAAAUCUACAAAUUACAUCAAAUUUAUUAUACGUAACAAAACGCCACAGUAAGUAACCCUAAUACUCUGUAAACCCAGGAAUUGGAUAUCAAAUAGAGAGUUGGCAAAAUUCGUGCCAGCUGCCGCGGUUAGACGAUAAACUCAAGCUAAUUAAAACACGACUAAAUACAAGAUGUUCUAAAUAACUUAUUAGGUCUAAUUUUACAGCCAAAGAGUCACAAACAUCAAAAUCUUAUGAAAGCCUAAACCAAAACACGGAUUAGAUACCCGUCUAUCUAGGCAAUAAAUAAAGUCGAAAAAUACGAACCACAGUUUAAAACUCAAAGAUUUUGGCGGUGUCUUAUCAAACCAGGGGAACCUGUCUCAUAACUCGAUAAUCCACGAAUCCCUUACCACUCCUCGAUUAAUCCAGUUUGUGUACUGCCGUCGUAAGCACACCUCUAAAAGUAAAUUAGUAUGCAAUAAUAGUUAACCUAUAUACGUCAGGUCAAAGUGCAGCUCAUGGAGAGGUGAUGAUGGGUUACACCCUAAAUAAAGACACGGAACAUAUUUUCAAAUAAUAUUUUAAGGUGGACUUGGUUGUAAUUUUAAUCCCAAUUAUAAUGAAAUUGAAUCUAAGACAUGCACACAUCGCCCGUCACUCUUGCCUAAAGGUGAGAUAAGUCGUAACAAAGUAGGUGUAACGGAAGUUGCACCUGUCGAAGU